This 380-nucleotide long non-coding RNA is filed under the name Heterocephalus glaber (naked mole-rat). RNAcentral's name for it is "lncRNA (ENSHGLG00000043605.1)". Lineage: Eukaryota; Metazoa; Chordata; Mammalia; Rodentia; Bathyergidae. The record is from RNAcentral.
CGAGAGACGGGGCAGGCAGGGCCAGCGGGGUCUCACUAUGUAGCCCUGGCUGGCCUUGAACUCACAGCCAUCCAUCAUGCCCAGCCCAGCCUAUGUAGAUGUUGGCCUCCGCUCUGAAAAGGAAGAUCACAGGUUCAAGCUCAGCCUGAUUCUGGAUCCACUCUCGGCCACACAGCCUCGGCUCCUUGGAGAACUCCAGUCGACUAUGGCUCACAGAACACACGAGAAAGCCCUGGGCCCACAGAUGAAUGCACCCUCAGCUCCCCAAACUGAGAGAAGCCCAUGUGCAGGGCCUGUCCCCCGAGAGAGCCCAAGAGAGAAAAUCCCUGACAUCCACACUGACGGCUCCAAGCGCCCUUUCAGCACUCCCCAAACUGAAC